GGUCGAUGAAAGUCGAUCGAUCAGCGACAAAUUUUUUAUGAGCUUGUCUCGUUCACAGGGCCUGUUUAUACUAGUGUUUUAUCUCCUAUUGGACAAGACGGUUCGGAAAGAGUUCAAGAAUGUGUACAUGCGCUGGAAGACUAAGGACAAGACAUACGGGAUACAGAAACCCACGCAGCAUUUUAAACGCUCCUAUCACCCAGGGGAGACGGCACCUCUCUGAUCCCCGUAUGAUUUUGACGACGAUGGAAACUUCAUUAGCAUAUCUACCACGGAGCCAUCCAGCAGCGGUUCCGUAGCAGUGUAACGAGUCGGUUCACCACAGACAACAGUAUCACUGAUACUAUAGGAGAUGAAGAUACCAGUGCAC
Non-coding RNA from Pocillopora verrucosa, 370 nucleotides. The record is from RefSeq and is a predicted model, not a curated record. Lineage: Eukaryota; Metazoa; Cnidaria; Anthozoa; Scleractinia; Pocilloporidae.